RNAcentral lists this ribosomal RNA (1343 nucleotides) under uncultured bacterium. Its description in RNAcentral is "16S ribosomal RNA". It matches the Rfam family "Bacterial small subunit ribosomal RNA", at positions 28 to 1378 of the family's 1533-position model. The record is from RNAcentral.
GACGAACGCUGGCGGCGUGCUUAACACAUGCAAGUCGAACGGAAAGGCCCUGCUUUUGUGGGGUGCUCGAGUGGCGAACGGGUGAGUAACACGUGAGUAACCUGCCCUUGACUUUGGGAUAACUUCAGGAAACUGGGGCUAAUACCGGAUAGGAGCUCCUGCUGCAUGGUGGGGGUUGGAAAGUUUCGGCGGUUGGGGAUGGACUCGCGGCUUAUCAGCUUGUUGGUGGGGUAGUGGCUUACCAAGGCUUUGACGGGUAGCCGGCCUGAGAGGGUGACCGGCCACAUUGGGACUGAGAUACGGCCCAGACUCCUACGGGAGGCAGCAGUGGGGAAUAUUGCACAAUGGGCGGAAGCCUGAUGCAGCAACGCCGCGUGCGGGAUGACGGCCUUCGGGUUGUAAACCGCUUUCGCCUGUGACGAAGCGUGAAUGACGGUAAUGGGUAAAGAAGCACCGGCUAACUACGUGCCAGCAGCCGCGGUGAUACGUAGGGUGCGAGCGUUGUCCGGAUUUAUUGGGCGUAAAGGGCUCGUAGGUGGUUGAUCGCGUCGGAAGUGUAAUCUUGGGGCUUAACCCUGAGCGUGCUUUCGAUACGGGUUGACUUGAGGAAGGUAGGGGAGAAUGGAAUUCCUGGUGGAGCGGUGGAAUGCGCAGAUAUCAGGAGGAACACCAGUGGCGAAGGCGGUUCUCUGGGCCUUUCCUGACGCUGAGGAGCGAAAGCGUGGGGAGCGAACAGGCUUAGAUACCCUGGUAGUCCACGCUGUAAACGGUGGGUACUAGGUGUGGGGUCCAUUCCACGGGUUCCGUGCCGUAGCUAACGCUUUAAGUACCCCGCCUGGGGAGUACGGCCGCAAGGCUAAAACUCAAAGGAAUUGACGGGGCCCCGCACAAGCGGCGGAGCAUGCGGAUUAAUUCGAUGCAACGCGUAGAACCUUACCUGGGUUUGACAUGGAUCGGGAGUGCUCAGAGAUGGGUGUGCCUCUUUUGGGGUCGGUUCACAGGUGGUGCAUGCCUGUCGUCAGCUCGUGUCGUGAGAUGUUGGGUUAAGUCCCGCAACGAGCGCAACCCUUGUUCACUGUUGCCAGCACGUUAUGGUGGGGACUCAGUGGAGACCGCCGGGGUCAACUCGGAGGAAGGUGGGGAUGACGUCAAGUCCUCAUGCCCCUUAUGUCCAGGGCUUCACGCAUGCUACAAUGGCUGGUACAGAGAGUGGCGAGCCUGUGAGGGUGAGCGAAUCUCGGAAAGCCGGUCUCAGUUCGGAUUGGGGUCUGCAACUCGACCUCAUGAAGUCGGAGUCGCUAGUAAUCGCAGAUCAGCAACGCUGCGGUGAAUACGUUCCCGGG